Podarcis lilfordi (Lilford's wall lizard) is the source of this 69-nucleotide non-coding RNA. The record is from the annotation of a GenBank genome assembly. NCBI's taxonomy places the organism in Eukaryota, Metazoa, Chordata, Lepidosauria, Squamata, Lacertidae.
GGACUGCAACGGUGGCCAAGCAUCUGCUUUGUAUGCAGAAGGUGCCAGGUUCAAUCCCUGGCAUCUCCA